This is a long non-coding RNA of Tribolium castaneum (red flour beetle), 5178 nucleotides long. RefSeq lists it as uncharacterized. The record is from RefSeq and is a predicted model, not a curated record. The transcript has 3 exons. Lineage: Eukaryota; Metazoa; Arthropoda; Insecta; Coleoptera; Tenebrionidae.
CUAUCAAAUUCACCAUACACUAAACAAUUGACAGUUUCUGUAAGAGCAGUGUUAAAACCAACUUCUAUUCGUAAACUUCCGUUCUUUAUCAAAUUCCAUGAAAGAGCAUUAUGCGAUGAUAAGUCAGGUGUCAAAUCAAAAACAGCUAUUGAAUAUCCAUCAGCAUAAUUAUCACGUGAAAUCCCAUUUCCAGUGUUUAGAAAAUGUAUACCAGUACCAGAAAAUAAUGUGUGGUACAUUGAAACAAAUUUCUUAUUUGGACCGAUAAAUGUAGGUUGUAAGGGUUUACUAGGAAUUUGGUUACCAUCCACGUACAAGGAUAGAUAGUUUAAACCAAAGUUUUCGAAAUUAAAUGGAUUUAAGGAAUAAUCACCGUUAAAUGCUUUAUUUGUCACAAAGCACAAUGCACAUCUUUUUGGAAGUUGGCCCAAAUAAACAUUAUCCAAUGAUUUUCCUUGUACUCCUUGCGGUAUAGUCAAAACCUUUAAUUCUGUUCGCGUAAUUGGAUAUUUUGCAGUUGAAAGCUCUAAAGCCUUUGCAUGCGCAAGUAAUACGCUUGGAUUUAUCCGAUUUCUUCUAAUCAUUAGAGUUGCAUCAGUAAUUUGAAUUUUUCCAUUAAGAUUAUUUGAUGACAUCAAUGCAAAACUAUCACGAGAACGUACAAAUUUUAAUCUCAUUUCUACACCGUUGAUUAAAAAUUUUUCUUGAUUAAAUAUAUCACAAUUUAAGUGACCAAUAAGAUCGACUUCUUUACUCGUCGACGUUAGUUUGAGUCUAUUGGCGAAUCCACUGUUCUCAUUGGUUACUACAUUCAUUUUGCCUGCCGUAUCGGCGUACCAUAAUCCACAAGUUAAAUGGGAAUUCUUCGCCCCUGAGUCAUAAUUUAAAAGUGUCUCCAAAUAACAUUUAUAAGCGUAUGUAUUAUUUGGUGGUGAAAUCAGUUUUUGAUUUAGGUAUACAUCAACUUGACUAAACAUUGAGUGGAGAAUAUUAUUAACUGGACCAAUUGUAUCUUCAGCGGUAUAAUUACUACCGUCAUCUUUGCAUAUUUUAAUACAAAGUGAAAGUAAAGUUUGCGAUAAAUCUAUAUAGUCUUCACCACCUGGUAUUACAAAUUCUAAAGGACUAUUUUCAGAUAUACUAGAUACAGUUUUGUAAUGAACCCAUUGACCGCUUUCGAUGCUUGUUUGAGUUGGCGGUAAAGCAAAAAGAUCCAAUUCACUUUUCGCGCACUCACAACUAUGAGGAUGUAAAAACGACAUUCUAGCUAAAGAUAUCUUGAUGUUUAAUAACUGAACUCGUUUUACACUUCUUUGCAGAACGACGUGAAGAACUAUUCUGACUUUUAUUUUGUACUAGCCUUCUUUUUAUAGAUCCAGAUCCUACCAAGUUGUCUAAUUUAUCUUGAGCUUUUCGUUUCAAAUUUUCAACUGACUCAUUUACACGUGUCUUGAAUGCAUCCUUUACAGGCACCUCAUUAACAAUGUCGCCAAGAAAAUUUGAACCAGUGCGUAGUGUUUCCUUACCAAUUGUUUUAACACCACUCUUUAUUAACGGCAUUACCGUACGAAAAAGUCCCCGUAAAAAACUACCAAUACCAUAACCCUUUUGGUAACUAAUUCCUUUGUAAAUAGCACCUACACCUGAACCAGCUUGAUUGAUGUAGUAAUCGUGAUAAUGACAUGAAGGCAUUACGAAAUUUUUUUAAAAUGAAGUUUAACGCACACUGUUCCAAACUGAAAUGGCACUUUCUCACCAGUUGCACUUCUUAUAUCAAUUUCAAUGUUUUCAAAUUCCCUUUUCAACAGAGGCACGUAAUGCGGAUGCGAAAAUAAUUGCGUAUGAUGUGUACCGUAAAUGUAGUGUUUAUUAUCGAUAACAACGAUUCGAAUUACUUUUGCCAUUAUAUCGCCCACCAAUUGUGGUUCAAUUAUAUCACUGUAUACGAAAAGUUGUGAAGGCAAACCCAACAUAAUGUUUGCUGGAUGUGUUGAAGUUUUACUCAGUACAUUUGUAUCCGGUUGAAAACCUAAUUGUAGACUUAAUGUCGGUGAAAAUGAUAGACUUGUCAGAUAUUUGCUACUGCUUGUUACAGUUACUCUUUUUGAACCAUCAUUUAAUCUGAACUCAACAUUAUCUUUUACUAAAACUCUUACCGAGUUUAGAGCAUCCACAAUAGAUUCGAUCGUUUCGUAGUUACCAGCUUCAAGCUUAGUCUUAUAUUUCGUCAUAAUUACAUCGUGUUCAAAUGUGAUCGUUUUCAUUUUAAGAUCGCGCAUGAAUUCUUUCGAAGACUUGUAUUUCCUUCUUCGAACCUGAUCAUCGAUCCAUGUCGCAAAACGGGGAUCUUUAAACAAUAUGUCAAUGGCUUUUUCACCUUUUUGCAUAAUCGCCGAUAAACUAAAUUCAAAAGAGCAGUAAAUAAUAUUUUCACCACUGUUGAUGGUUAAGAAGGAACACGGAUACUGUAUUUCCGAAAGUCCCACACACCAUUCACCAUCCAAAUGAACAGUUUUUGGAAGUUGUGUGCAAAAGUGCGUUGUUGUAUUUUCGGGAAAGUAAUUGGUUGAGCUGUUUGAUACCAAAGUUAAAUAAAAUUCGUUAUUCAUAUCGAUGUAAGGGAACUGCACGGAAUCCACGAGUUAAACUUUGAAGGAUAAUUUUUCCACUGCACAAAAAUUUCACAUUUACCUCUUUUAUAUCGCUUCUUCAAUACUUUUUCAAUGUGAAAUGUACUCUGGGGGUCGUACGUUACGCGCUGUAAUUCGGGGUGAUAGAAGACGCCCUCUAUUGGUUCAUCCAUUAAAUCGGAAAUUUUGUACACAACGGGUUGUCUCAUUAUAACAUCAGUUAUUUUGAAUAUUUCACCGCUCCAAUUACUCAUGUAGCCUUUUUCAAAUACGUGCUUGUACUUGGUGAUUCUGACGUAAUCUCCAACUUUGUACACAUUUUCGAGUUUGAUCGUUUUAAUAUUCUUCUUUCUCGUACUCAUAAUGUUAUCGUAUACUUGCGCAACGUUGUCAGGAUUUACCUCGUUAGGAGCCAUUUUAAUAGUACGAUGAUAAGAAUUAUUGUAAGAGUGCAUGAAUUCGGGUAAUACAUCAAUGUAUUGCAUAUUAUUUGCAAACGUAAAAUAUUUAUGCAUUUUUGUUUUUAAAGUUUUAUUGAACCUUUCUACCACAGCAGCUUUUACAUCAGGAUUAUUUGUUACAUAAUAAUUUAUAUCAUAUUGUUUAAACAAUUUUUGGACAUUUUUCGCUAGAAAUUCUUUUCCCUUGUCAGUCUGAAGAUUAACCGGAACACGCUCAUCAAAUAUUUCUUUAAAAGCUGCAGCCACUUCAUUUCCCGUCUUUGUGUAUAAAGGUUUAACCCAUGCAAACUUGGAAAAUACAUCGAUGACAGUUAAUAGGUAAUUUACACCUCGAUUAUGUUUUGCGAUGUUUCUCAUAUCUAUUAAAUCAGCUUGAAAUAAAUCGUCUAUGUUGGUUACAUGAUAACUAUUUCUAGGAAAUCGACGACGAACUUGCUUAUGUAAUGUAUAAGAUUCCACACCUUCUAGCCAUUUAUUAAUUUUUUUCUUAUGUAUAUUUGUAAACUUAGCUAAGUUGUUAGGACUCGAAAAACCAAGAGGGUCACGAGGUAUAAAAUAUCUUUCCUUUAUUUCAUCCAUUUUUGUCUACUUGCUUUCAUACGGCGACCAAGGAACUCUCAAGCGUUUUUGUUUUCUUGAUGACGAUCGCAUUGAUUUCUUCGUUAUUUGACUAUCCUCUUCUUCUUCUUCUUCUUCUGUGUCAAACUUUGACGACGAUAUUGGUUUUACUUUCACUUCGUUUUUUACUUCUUGCUUUUCAGCACCUUGUUCAUUUAUAUAUUUCAAACGUUUUGGAUUAAUUAUAAGAGUACGUGGAACGUUUAUUUUAUACAAAAUUUCCGCAAAAUUUUUCCAUCCGACAGGCUCGGCAUUUAACUUAUUACUACUCUUCAUAACAUCAGUGAUUAGAUCAAAUAUAUUGGAACCAGGAAUUGUGUUUCCAUCGUAGAUAACGUUUCCGGUUUCAUUCCAUGCAACUCCAUUGUGUGUUAAAUUGUUUAACAAAGCAUUCGCUUUAACUUGUAAGGGUCUUGGUAGGGAACUCAAAAUGUUUCGAGUAAUUCGUUCAGAUUGUUCUAAUUGAUUUUCUUUAGAAUAAAUCACAGGUAUGGUAACAGGUUCACGAGAACGACUUAUCAUUUUUAGAUAUCUUUGAAGCACUUGAUUAUACAAAAUCCAUUUUUCAUUAUCAUCAAUGUUUUUCGUAUCUAUGAUUCUUUUCAUUUCAUGAUCUAAAUCAUUUAGGGUGUUUGGCUGAGUGCUUUUGUUAUUAUGCAAACGUUCAAGUUCGGAUGAAUCAAUGAGUACCAUUUUUUUCGUAUGUUCCAUUAUUUAUUAAAUAAAUGACCCAACACACCCGAAAUUAUUGGAGCCAACAACAAUGGUAUGUAUGCAUAAGAAGGUUCUUCAUCAGGUAGAAUAUUUGUUCGAAUACGAAAUUCAUCUGGAGUAUCUUGUUUUAAAUCAAUCAACAAAUAACCAUGCGGUCUCAUUGUGGCAUCCUUAUAAGCUUCUUGGAUAAAUUUUAUAUUUUCAGGAAAAAUCUGUCUAGCUAAGAAAUUAAUUUGAGCUUUAUCACGAGGAUUUUUAAAAUAAACGAUAUAGUUCGCAUUCAAAGAAAUAUCUCUCUGUCCUUUUCCUUGAUGAAACAAAUUUUGCGUAAUGUAGAAGACACUAAGGUUUCGAUGAUGACUUCCCUUAGUGAAAAUAUCCACCACACUGCCAUUAGUCUCUCUCAUCAGAUCAUCCAAAAUUAUCAAUGUCGCUUCUGUACCAUCAAAAUCAUUCAUAUCAGGAACGCCUUGACGAAAUUCAAGAUUACUAUUAUUGAUUACAUUAGUUUGAUACAACGGUUGCCACUCGUCAUAAAACCAAAGCACUCGUUCAAAUUUUUUAUCACAGACCGAAUUUAUGUGGUUCAAAAAUCGUAUAAUAAAGUGCGUUUUUCCGCAAGCAGUUGGACCAGCUAUAAUUGCUGUAAACGGAGAUUUGAAUCCUUCAUUUUUCUCGAUGUUGUCGGCCAUUUCCAUCAACGAUCGCUCCAACACAGGAUCCGACCAUUCAGCUGGUGUUAUGAUGUCUUCUUC